GCCAGGCACGGUGUUGUGUGCCUGUGGUCCCAGCUGCUCGGGAGGCUGAGGUAGGAGGAUUGCUUGAGCCCAGGAGUUUUAGGCUGUAGUGCGCUAUGCCGAUUGGGUGUCCACACUAGGUUCAACAUCAAUAUGGUGACCUCCCGGGAGUUGGGGACUACCAGGUUGCCUAAGGAGGGGUGAACCAGCCCAGGUUGGAAACGGAGCAGGUCAAAACUCCCAUGCUGAUCAGUUUUGGGAUCGCGCCUGUGAAUAGCCACUGCACUCCAGCCUGGGCAACAUAGCGAGACCCCGUCUCU
Molecule: signal recognition particle RNA, 299 nt
Filed under: Saimiri boliviensis boliviensis (Bolivian squirrel monkey)
Lineage: Eukaryota; Metazoa; Chordata; Mammalia; Primates; Cebidae
Description: Metazoan signal recognition particle RNA (ENSSBOG00000002179.1)
Rfam family: Metazoan signal recognition particle RNA
About the family: The signal recognition particle (SRP) is a universally conserved ribonucleoprotein. It is involved in the co-translational targeting of proteins to membranes.
Source: RNAcentral